This 692-nucleotide ribosomal RNA is filed under the name uncultured bacterium. RNAcentral describes it as "bacterial SSU rRNA". It matches the Rfam family "Bacterial small subunit ribosomal RNA", at positions 30 to 712 of the family's 1533-position model. The record is from RNAcentral.
UUGACGCUGGCGGCAUGCCUUACAGCUGCAAGUCGAACGGUAACAGGUCUUCGGAUGAUGACGAGUGGCGAACGGGAGUAAUACAUCGGAACGUGCCCGAUCGUGGGGGAUAACGGAGCGAAAGCUUUGCUAAUACCGCAUACGAUCUACGGAUGAAAGCAGGUGACCAGAAGGCCUUGCGCGGACGGAGCGGCCGAUGGCAGAUUAGGUAGUUGGUGGGAUAAAAGCUUACCAAGCCGACGAUCUGUAGCUGGUCUGAGAGGACGACCAGCCACACUGGGACUGAGACAACGGCCCAGACUCCUACGGGAGGCAGCAGUGGGGAAUUUUGGACAAUGGGCGAAAGCCUGAUCCAGCCAUGCCGCGUGCAGGAUGAAGGCCUUCGGGUUGUAAACUGCUUUUGUACGGAACGAAAAGACUCCUUCUAAUAAAGGGGGUCCAUGACGGUACCGUAAGAAUAAGCACCGGAUAACUACGUGACCAAAAACACGCGGUAAUACGUAGGGUGCAAGCGUUUAUCGGAACUACUGGGCGAUAAGCGUGCGCAGGCGGUUAUAUAAGACAGAUGUGAAAUCCCCGGAGAUCAACCUGGAGAAACUGACAUAGUGACUUGUAUAGAUAAGAGGACGAGACGAGGGGGAUGGAAUUCCGCGUGUACCAAUGAAAAGCGUAGAUAUCGGAAGGAACCCGAU